RNAcentral lists this unclassified non-coding RNA (339 nucleotides) under soil metagenome. RNAcentral's name for it is "partial contains 5.8S ribosomal RNA, internal transcribed spacer 2, and large subunit ribosomal RNA". The stretch from base 1 to 120 matches the Rfam family "5.8S ribosomal RNA", at positions 35 to 154 of the family's 154-position model. The record is from RNAcentral.
GAUGAAGAACGCAGCGAAAUGCGAUAACUAAUGUGAAUUGCAGAAUUCAGUGAAUCAUCGAGUCCUUGAACGCACAUUGCGCCCCCUGGUAUUCCGGGGGGCAUGCCUGUCCGAGCGUCAUUGCUGCCCUCAAGCACGGCUUGUGUGUUGGGCUCCGUCCCCCCGGGGACGGGCCCGAAAGGCAGCGGCGGCACCGAGUCCGGUCCUCGAGCGUAUGGGGCUUUGUCACCCGCUCUGUAGGCCCGGCCGGCGCCAGCCGACAACCCAUCAUCCUUUUCAGGUUGACCUCGGAUCAGGUAGGGAUACCCGCUGAACUUAAGCAUAUCAAUAAGCGGAGGA